GUCGGGAGUCGUGGCGGGCUCCUGUGAUCCAGCUUCUAGGAGGCAAAGCGCAGCGGACGCUUUCAGACCUGCGCUAC
RNAcentral lists this non-coding RNA (77 nucleotides) under Pediculus humanus corporis (human body louse). The record is from RNAcentral. Lineage: Eukaryota; Metazoa; Arthropoda; Insecta; Psocodea; Pediculidae.